Molecule: ribosomal RNA, 452 nt
Filed under: uncultured bacterium
Lineage: Bacteria
Description: partial 16S ribosomal RNA
Rfam family: Bacterial small subunit ribosomal RNA
Source: RNAcentral
AACGAACGCUGGCGGCAUGCCUAACACAUGCAAGUCGAACGAUGUCUUUCGGGGCAUAGUGGCGCACGGGUGCGUAACGCGUGGGAAUCUGCCCUUGGGUUCGGAAUAACCGUUGGAAACGACGGCUAAUACCGGAUGAUGUCGAUAAGACCAAAGAUUUAUCGCCUGAGGAUGAGCCCGCGUAGGAUUAGCUAGUUGGUGUGGUAAGAGCGCACCAAGGCGACGAUCCUUAGCUGGUCUGAGAGGAUGAUCAGCCACACUGGGACUGAGACACGGCCCAGACUCCUACGGGAGGCAGCAGUGGGGAAUAUUGGACAAUGGGCGCAAGCCUGAUCCAGCAAUGCCGCGUGAGUGAUGAAGGCCUUAGGGUUGUAAGGCUCUUUUACCCGGGAUGAUAAUGACAGUACCGGGAGAAUAAGCUCCGGCUAGCUCCGUGCCAGCAGCCGCGGUAA